This 838-nucleotide ribosomal RNA is filed under the name Schizophyllum commune. Its description in RNAcentral is "eukaryotic LSU rRNA". The stretch from base 116 to 838 matches the Rfam family "Eukaryotic large subunit ribosomal RNA", at positions 1 to 709 of the family's 3401-position model. The record is from RNAcentral. Lineage: Eukaryota; Fungi; Basidiomycota; Agaricomycetes; Agaricales; Schizophyllaceae.
UGUGAUAAUUUCUACGUCGUUGACCAUCUCGGGGCUGACCUAGUCAGUUUCAAUAGGAGUCUGCUUCUAACCGUCUCUUGACCGAGACUAGCGACUUGUGCGCUAACUUUUGACUUGACCUCAAAUCAGGUAGGACUACCCGCUGAACUUAAGCAUAUCAAUAAGCGGAGGAAAAGAAACUAACAAGGAUUCCCCUAGUAACUGCGAGUGAAGCGGGAAAAGCUCAAAUUUAAAAUCUGGCGGUCUCCGGCCGUCCGAGUUGUAAUUUAGAGAAGCGUUAUCCGUGCUGGACCGUGUAUAAGUCUCCUGGAAUGGAGCGUCAUAGAGGGUGAGAAUCCCGUCUUUGACACGGACUACCAGUGCAUUGUGAUGCGCUCUCGACGAGUCGAGUUGUUUGGGAAUGCAGCUCAAAAUGGGUGGUAAAUGCCAUCUAAAGCUAAAUAUUGGCGAGAGACCGAUAGCGAACAAGUACCGUGAGGGAAAGAUGAAAAGAACUUUGGAAAGAGAGUUAAACAGUACGUGAAAUUGUCGAAAGGGAAACGGUUGCAGUCAGUCGCGUCCGCCGGGGAUCAACCUUGCUUUUGCUUGGCGUAUUUCCCGGUGGAUGGGUCAGCAUCAGUUUUGACCGCAGUUGAAAGGCUGGAGGAAUGUGGCACCUUCGGGUGUGUUAUAGCCUCCUGUCAUAUGCUGCGGUUGGGACUGAGGAACUCAGCACGCCGCAAGGCCGGGAUUCGUCCACGUUCGUGCUUAGGAUGCUGGCAUAAUGUCUGUAACCGACCCGUCUUGAAACACGGACCAAGGAGUCUAACAUGCACGCGAGUGUUUGGGUGGCAAACCC